Molecule: transfer RNA, 72 nt
Filed under: Marmota marmota marmota (Alpine marmot)
Lineage: Eukaryota; Metazoa; Chordata; Mammalia; Rodentia; Sciuridae
Also listed under: 1 other name
Rfam family: tRNA
About the family: Transfer RNA (tRNA) molecules are approximately 80 nucleotides in length. Their secondary structure includes four short double-helical elements and three loops (D, anti-codon, and T loops).
Source: Rfam by way of RNAcentral
AGGGGUGUGGCUCAGAGGUAGAGCACUUGUCUAGCACAUACAAGGGACUGGGUUCAAUUCUCAGCAACACAU